GAUGAACGCUGGCGGCGUGCCUAAUACAUGCAAGUCGAGCGAACAGACGAGGAGCUUGCUCCUCUGACGUUAGCGGCGGACGGGUGAGUAACACGUGGAUAACCUACCUAUAAGACUGGGAUAACUUCGGGAAACCGGAGCUAAUACCGGAUAAUAUAUUGAACCGCAUGGUUCAAUAGUGAAAGACGGUUUUGCUGUCACUUAUAGAUGGAUCCGCGCCGCAUUAGCUAGUUGGUAAGGUAACGGCUUACCAAGGCGACGAUGCGUAGCCGACCGGAUAGGGUGAUCGGCCACACUGAAACUGAGACACGGUCCAGACUCCUAGGGGAGGCAGCAGUAGGGAAUCUUCCGCAAUGGGCGAAAGCCUGACGGAGCAACGCCGCGUGAGUGAUGAAGGUCUUCGGAUCGUAAAACUCUGUUAUUAGGGAAGAACAAAUGUGUAAGUAACUAUGCACGUCUUGACGGUACCUAAUAAGAAAGCCACGGCUAACUACGU
RNAcentral lists this ribosomal RNA (496 nucleotides) under uncultured bacterium. RNAcentral's name for it is "partial 16S ribosomal RNA". It matches the Rfam family "Bacterial small subunit ribosomal RNA", at positions 28 to 506 of the family's 1533-position model. The record is from RNAcentral.